CACCUCAUUAGCGAACACUUACUAAUUAGUACUUGUUGUCAACCUACUGUGCGUGGAAGGAAGAGUAGAGAAGGAAACCAGAGUAGUUUUUGUGGAUGAUCAAUGCACAGCCAAAUAGAAGGAAUGAGGUGAGUGCCCAGAUAAACAAAUCACGAGUGUUUUGGAAACUUGUGUGUGUAUCAGAAUCCCCUGGAAGGCAAAUACCUGGUCCUUCUUCCCACAGCCCUUGAUUCAAGCACUCAGCUUCGUGGUGGAGAGCAGGAGUCUGCAGUUUAAAAUAUACAUGUAAUUUACAUGAAAGUGGGCUGUGCUUGGCUCUUGAGGACUUGAACCACAGACUGGUAUGUGAUGGGAGUAAUAGAAAUGACUUAAAAGGACACAUGUGCUGGGAGGUGGGGGAUGGGGUGGAAAAUGGUAUCUAAGAACCGAAAAUGGUAUCUGAGGGCACUUGCAUGGUCGCAAUGCAUUUGCCACAGCAGAUCAGGAGACUGCAAGGGGCUCUGCAGGUAUUGACACAGAUGUGUGCGUCGUGUCACUUUUUUCUCCAGGGAGCAUUGUUCUGGUUUACAUUGACUCAUCUCUGGGUCUGCUCCCCAUAGUUGUCAAAGCCUUUGAGAAAUAAAGAUGAAUAAAUCAUAAAUAAAAUAGUAAUGAUGAUGAUAAGUGGUCCCACUAAUAAUGCAGAAACAGUGGUAGCAAACAGCUGUUUGUUAAUACAGGAAGCACUUUUAAAGCACUUUUCAUGGUAUGGAUUAUUUCAUCCUCAUGACAACCCAGUGGUUUAAGAGCCACAUGCAGCCACAUUUCACACAUCAUUUUCUUGAGGCUCAGAGCAGUCUAGUACCUGUUUCAGGGUAUUCAGGGAGGAAUUAGCAGAGUUCAGUUGGACCCUCAGCAGUCUGACCCCACAGCUCAUGCUUGCCCCCACUGGAUUCCACUGCCUUUCCAGGACCACCCAGGGGCAUCAUUUGACCAACUGCAUCAGGAAAUUUUGAACAAGCCAUUUCUGUUCUGCAGACUGCAGUUUCUGUACCCCUUAAUAGGCUGGAAUCAGUAUAUCCACCUAUAUUUUUAAAUAAAUUAUUAUUAUUUUAA
RNAcentral lists this long non-coding RNA (1095 nucleotides) under Marmota monax (woodchuck). Lineage: Eukaryota; Metazoa; Chordata; Mammalia; Rodentia; Sciuridae. The record is from RNAcentral.